Molecule: long non-coding RNA, 457 nt
Filed under: Capsicum annuum
Lineage: Eukaryota; Viridiplantae; Streptophyta; Magnoliopsida; Solanales; Solanaceae
Description: long non-coding RNA (CANN_LNC021690)
Source: RNAcentral
UAUUAUUGCUCUUUUACCAUAAUUUGUUAGGUUAAUUGCUAUAUUAAUGCAAGUUUAGCCACAAGUGAACAACCAACUCGAGUCAAAUCCAACCCCAAACUCUGUUUUUGCCAAAACUCAAUCACUGGUUACUUUUUGGAGCUGAAAAUAAAAGGAGUUGUUUGGUCAACUGUUUCCGGCAAAUUUCCGUUGUAGAAACAGUCGGUUUUUGAUCGCUUUCCGAUGGGUUUCAACGGUGGAGCUCGGGAUUACCAUUUUCGUGUUGCCUGAGCUCCGGUGAGCUUCAUUGGAGAUUGAAAUGGUGAUGAGAGCUACAAUUCCGAUGAUAACGUCACCGAAAAAUUGAGGACUGAUUUUUGUUUUUCUCUUGUUUCUCCCAAAUUUUCUCACUGUGUUAACUUAUCUAUCUCCCUCUCUAAUUUCUCUAAAUCAACCCCCAACUUUCGAUCAAUUCUCA